GACCUCGCCCCAUGGCGAAACAUACACAUAGUUCAUCUAGCUGGUAGAUGAUGACAAUAGGGUCAUCCGGUCGAAGGUUAUAGGAUAAAAAAUAGCAGACAA
This 102-nucleotide non-coding RNA is filed under the name unclassified sequences. The record is from Rfam.